This 1474-nucleotide long non-coding RNA is filed under the name Lynx pardinus (Iberian lynx). The record is from RNAcentral. Lineage: Eukaryota; Metazoa; Chordata; Mammalia; Carnivora; Felidae.
CAAGAGGCUGCAGUGAAAGAAGAAGUGAAGUGAGAGCGUGUUGUGUUGUGUCGUGUGGGGGCAAGGAGAGCAGAGAGAAGGGGAGGACUGAGAGCCCGUGCCGAGCACUGAGGGGAGCAGAGAGGAGGCGGCCGGCAGAGACAUCCAAGUUCCCUUUUGUUCUGUGGACCGGAGCUGGGAGCCCGUGGCAACAGCACAGCAGCAGCGGCUUCACAGGUCAGCCCCAUCCAGCAUCUCUAUUCCCGACUCCCUCACCUGUCCUUAUCCACCCGGUCCCCAGCAGGUGCCUGCCGGGGCCCAGGAUUGGUGACAUCCUGGGAGCAGCAAGCUGGGGACACUCCUCAUUCCCUUCACUCUCUGGGGGCAACUCCAGAUCCCUGGGAAUGUAGAAAUCUAUAUUUUAAAAAAAGAGAGCAAUUUAAACGAAGGAGUGUUUAGGCACUAGCUUCAAAUCUUGGCUCCCUGCUGCGACCUACGGCAAGUUAUUAGACUUUCCUGGAUUUCAGUUUCCUCAUCUGUACAGUGGGGUUAAUCUGGUAGCCUGCACCUUAGAUGACACUGGGAAGGGCCUGGAUGGAGUUUGUACUGGGCAAAUGGGAGCUGGUGCCAUUCCUCUCAGAGUGACCUGGACUGGAGCCCGGGGACUCUAUGUCUCAGGGAAAUGGCUCCAGUGUUGGUUUAGUCACAGACUAAGUUGGGCCUUGGCGUGGCCUCCCUUUCCCCACCUGUAAAAUGGGGCUAAUAAUGGUAUUUGUCAGGGCUUUCCUGCAGAGACCACAGGUUCAGUCCUCACCCAGGCUGGGGUGAGGCCAGCCGUGAGGGCUCCAGGAGCAUGGCUGGCUCAGCAGGCCUGGUGCUGCCGGGGAGAGGGCAGGCUGCGGGGGGGGGAUGCACGGUCAGCCCCAGGGAGGAAGGCAGGGGUUCCCAAGGCAUAUGCUCAGAUGUAUCCCCAGCUGGGGCUUUGGGUCAGAGCUCUAAACUUGCAGUGGGAUCAUGGAAAUGUCUAUGUGUCUCUCUCCCUGAGAAAUAGGUGUCCUUGGCUUCAGUUUACAGAUGGGAAGCCCUCAAGCACAGAGAAGUAGAGUUAUUGCCCCACGUCCCAGCCCAGGCACUGAAUACUGGAAGUGGCUAUCAAAUUUGCAUCUUCUAGAGGCUCUAGUCUCCACCCUGUUGUUUCCUUAUCUCUCUGUUGACCUAGAUAGAGGCUUACUCUUCCGUAGAGCAACCCAACCAUCUUUGGGAGCCUGUGGCACACAGCACUGGACUUGGAGCCUGGGGCCCUGGGUUUGAGUCCUGGCUUGACCACGGGACUGCCGUCACCUCCCAGGCAAACUCCUAUGUGGUUUCCAGUUUCCCCACAGUCAACUGGAACCGUCUUGGACCUCAGGUAGGGGGUUUCUGUUUCCCACGGAGCUUCAGAUAAUGAAUUGUGGGCCACGGUGAGACGGGUGAGGGUGUGGGGCAAUGCUGCACG